This is a microRNA precursor of Chlorocebus sabaeus (green monkey), 58 nucleotides long. The record is from Ensembl. Lineage: Eukaryota; Metazoa; Chordata; Mammalia; Primates; Cercopithecidae.
UCAGGAUCAGGAUCUGCAGAGCAAUUAGUAUAGUGCUCUGCAGAUCCUGGUCCUAAUA